GAGCCGAGCAGAGAUGACCGCGGACUGCGCACGGAGAAGCCCUGGCAAGGUCGCGAAGGACCCGGGUUCAAUUCCCGGCGGCUCCA
This 86-nucleotide transfer RNA is filed under the name Corynebacterium glyciniphilum. Lineage: Bacteria; Bacillati; Actinomycetota; Actinomycetes; Mycobacteriales; Corynebacteriaceae. RNAcentral also lists the same sequence under 1 other name. The record is from RNAcentral.